GUCUAUAAAUACUGGCAAACGCGGCGUGGCUUGUUCUCUUUCGUGUUCGUUAGGGAGGCAUGGCUAUGUGUUUCUCUUAUAACACUUUCCCCAUACUCGUGCGUAUAUGUAUGGAGGAAUAGAAGCGCCAGUGCUAUGUCUUCGGUACCGGCAUGUUCCCAUCAGCUGGUUCUAUCCUCAAUCGCUGUGUUAAAGACGAAAGCGUGCAAGCCUGAGUGUGGAGCUCUUCACUGUGAUGGCUAUGAAAAGUAGAUUUGCCAGGACUUCCCAGUAAUCAUACAGCUAUGCUAAAGAUCAGCUGGGUCUAUAUUUCCGUAGGUUUGUAGGCAAAUGCCUGACAUGGGUUUUCAUGCACUUCUAAUAAAGGGCUUUAAGCAUA
Molecule: long non-coding RNA, 379 nt
Organism: Electrophorus electricus (electric eel)
Lineage: Eukaryota; Metazoa; Chordata; Actinopteri; Gymnotiformes; Gymnotidae
Source: RefSeq, a predicted model, not a curated record